This 84-nucleotide transfer RNA is filed under the name Candidatus Doudnabacteria bacterium RIFCSPHIGHO2_01_48_18. RNAcentral describes it as "tRNA-Leu". It matches the Rfam family "tRNA". From Rfam's summary of the family: Transfer RNA (tRNA) molecules are approximately 80 nucleotides in length. Their secondary structure includes four short double-helical elements and three loops (D, anti-codon, and T loops). Lineage: Bacteria; Candidatus Doudnaibacteriota. RNAcentral also lists the same sequence under 6 other names. The record is from RNAcentral.
GCCCGGGUGGCGAAACUGGCAGACGCACUACCUUGAGGUGGUAGCGCCCGAAAGGGCUUGGAGGUUCAAAUCCUCUCCCGGGCA